This 365-nucleotide ribosomal RNA is filed under the name uncultured bacterium. RNAcentral's name for it is "bacterial SSU rRNA". It matches the Rfam family "Bacterial small subunit ribosomal RNA", at positions 527 to 896 of the family's 1533-position model. The record is from RNAcentral.
GUAAGGACCGAGCGUUGACCGGAAUCAUUGGGCGUAAAGGGUACGUAGGCGGGUUUUUAAGUUAGAAGUCAAAGGCUAUAGCUCAACUAUAGUAAGCUUCUAAAACUGGGGACCUUGAGUAAUGGAAGGGAAAGUGGAAUUCCUAGUGUAGCGGUGGAAUGCGCAGAUAUUAGGAGGAAUACCGGCGGCGAAGGCGACUUUCUGGCCAUUAACUGACGCUGAGGUACGAAAGCGUGGGUAGCAAACAGGAUUAGAUACCCUGGUAGUCCACGCCGUAAACGAUGAGUGUUAGGUGUCUGGAGUAAAUCUGGGUGCCGCAGCUAACGCAUUAAACACUCCGCCUGGGGAGUACGCACGCAAGUGUG